RNAcentral lists this ribosomal RNA (465 nucleotides) under uncultured bacterium. RNAcentral describes it as "partial 16S ribosomal RNA". It matches the Rfam family "Bacterial small subunit ribosomal RNA", at positions 28 to 506 of the family's 1533-position model. The record is from RNAcentral.
GACGAACGCUGGCGGCGUGCUUAACACAUGCAAGUCGAACGGUAAGGCUCCAGCUUGCUGGGGUACACGAGUGGCGAACGGGUGAGUAACACGUGGGUGACCUGCCCUGCACUUCGGGAUAAGCCUGGGAAACUGGGUCUAAUACCGGAUAGGACCAUGGUGUGGAUACUGUGGUGGAAAGUUUUUUCGGUGUGGGAUGGGCCCGCGGCCUAUCCGCAUGUUGGUGGGGUAAUGGCCUACCAAGGCGGCGACGGGUAGCCGGCCUGAGAGGGUGGAUGGCCACAUUGGGACUGAGACACGGCCCAGACGCCGACGGGAGGCAGCAGUGGGGAAUAUUGCACAAGGGGCGGAAGCGUGAUGCAGCGACGCCGCGUGGGGGAGGACGGCCUUCGGGUUGUAAGCUCCUUUCACCAUCGACGAAGGGGUUCUGACGGUGCAUGGAGAGGAGGCACCGCCUACCUACGU